GGGGGUGUAAAGGUUUCGACGGGGGUAAGAAGCAAAGGUUGCAUGCCGAGGUCCGGUUGGCUCGUUAAACAAACCGGGGCGAUUUAGACGCCGAUAACUACGAAUACGCCUUAGCAGCUUAAUAACCUGCUAACGUUCUACCUCGCUUCUCCCACGGGUGGGGAUAGAACGUCAUUUAGUGGGAUAGUUCUUGAGAGUGCCUGCGGCUCAAGGGCGAAAUCUAGCGGGACCGUCUCUCUUGAAUCCCGGCCUGUGGAGUCCUGAGAGGUUAAAUUAAAUACAGGUAUAAGCAUGUAGACGCCUUUCGUGUACGACUUUCGGACGUGGGUUCGACUCCCACCACCUCCACCA
RNAcentral lists this transfer-messenger RNA (351 nucleotides) under Geomonas silvestris. RNAcentral's name for it is "Standard tmRNA". It matches the Rfam family "transfer-messenger RNA". Rfam says of the family: Bacterial tmRNA, also known as 10Sa RNA or SsrA, is named for its dual tRNA and mRNA-like properties. The record is from Rfam by way of RNAcentral. Lineage: Bacteria; Pseudomonadati; Thermodesulfobacteriota; Desulfuromonadia; Geobacterales; Geobacteraceae.